Molecule: transfer RNA, 71 nt
Filed under: Camelus bactrianus (Bactrian camel)
Lineage: Eukaryota; Metazoa; Chordata; Mammalia; Artiodactyla; Camelidae
Also listed under: 2 other names
Rfam family: tRNA
About the family: Transfer RNA (tRNA) molecules are approximately 80 nucleotides in length. Their secondary structure includes four short double-helical elements and three loops (D, anti-codon, and T loops).
Source: Rfam by way of RNAcentral
GGGGGUAUAGCUCAGUGGUAGAGCGUGUGCUUAGCAUGCACAAGGUCCUGGGUUUAAUCCCCGUACCUCCA